GGUCUUCAGAAGCCAUCCCCGAAACUGCAGAAAGAAGCCCCCUGAAGUGAUUGUAUCCUUGGGUCUGAGUAUGUGCCCCUCUCCCAACCCCCAACAGCUGGGACUUGAGAUAAGAAGGGUAGGUCUCUCACUAAACGGGAUUGUUGUUCUUAGAGACAAGCCACUUCCCCUCUCUCAUGCUAAGGACAUGGAAGGAGGCACCGUUCACCAGUUUUGGGGGUGUGGCAGUGGAGUCUCUUCCCUAGCUCUGGACUUUGUCUUAAUCCUGUAUUCCCUGACUCCAUUUCUAUUCUGUAGCUCACAGCAGAAAUGGCUGUCUUGUACAUAUUCAAAGACCCCACACUAAAUAUCACACUAUUGGUGAAGCUGCAGAUUGACCACAUGCUGGGAAUUGAAAUCAACAUCUUAUAAUGUUUUCUAGCGUUUUAAUUUUCGACGAGACUUCAUUGUUUUAGUACAACAUUAUACCACUAAUUCCUGAUUGAACCUAGUAAUGAAGUGAAUUUCCUCGCUCUGGGAGGAUAUGCUAAGAGCAGUUCCAAUUGGGACAGCAAACACAGCUGGAGUGAUGGGAAGGCAGGUCAGGGUUGCCCAGGUCAGGCUUCU
RNAcentral lists this long non-coding RNA (606 nucleotides) under Rattus norvegicus (Norway rat). RNAcentral describes it as "long non-coding RNA NONRATT015620". Lineage: Eukaryota; Metazoa; Chordata; Mammalia; Rodentia; Muridae. The record is from RNAcentral.